Cottoperca gobio is the source of this 1827-nucleotide long non-coding RNA. The record is from Ensembl. Lineage: Eukaryota; Metazoa; Chordata; Actinopteri; Perciformes; Bovichtidae.
UAAUUUUUACUAAUAUAUCAAUAUCAAGCAAGACUAUUAUGCAAUGAUCUUAAUUUGUAUUAUGAAAGUGUAGUUACUUGAGAAGAUACUUUAUACCACAAAGAAAUGAUUGGAUAAUACAACUUUUAAAACGUGGGACCAUUACUGCUAAAGCAUUUACUCUUUCAAUAGUCCAAUGGUUUCUCGUUCAUUGAGAGGAUUGAGAGAUCUUUCUCCACCCUAACCUUACUUUUAGUUCAACCGUUUAGCCUGGGGCCAAAGGAAGUUCAUCCAGCAGCCCUGGGCUUUGGUAGCUUUGCAAAGGGCCAGGGCUGCAGUGUGACCCACUUCCCACUUUGCAAUUAUAUUGGAACAGAGUAAAUGAAACAAGAUCUUUGUUUGUUGUGUGGGUAUACCUCAGAAUGAUUGGCUGGGAUUAUGUAAAUGCAUCUUGUUAAGGUUUAGAUUAAAUUUUACUGCAAUGUGGAAGUGCAAAUUCAGCCAGACGGGGAUGGAGAAAACGUGGUUGAAGCCAGAGGGGAGCCCGAAUGAAGCUGCAAUAAAAAGUCCACAACAACCGAUAUAUCGGCCUAACCCUGAUAUAGGCUAUUUAUUGCUGUUAAAGAGUAAAUUAGGCUACUAAUGUAUUUCUUAAACAUGUCAUUCAUUCUAUGUAAUAUUUUCAUUCAUACUUCUGAUAGUAUGAGUGCAAAAUAAAAGUUUAAUUCUAUGUGCCCUUAAAAGGUCACAGAGACAUUUGAACUGGUAAUUGUAGGAAAAGCACAGGUGUUAGUAAUAACACUAACGAUGGCUCUGUGCUAUUUAAGGCUCUACACCUGGAACCUGAAAUUAAAGCAGCUCAAUGCAAUUCAGCCAUCAUUAACUUCACUAGUUAUACCAGUGCUUUUGCUACUGUAGCUAGUCAAAAUGUGUUCCGUUAAACAGGCCUAUUGUGCCUGCUGGCUCACUGUCGCACCGUCAUGGCUGACCAAGUUCUUUGCAGCCCUUGAAGGAAUGAAGGAAAGAAAGCGGGAUUAAGGAAAAGGGUUAGCAGAAAUGUUUCCUGAGCAUUUCAUUGCUACUGAUACCAACAUGCCGCCGUUAGUCUUCUUUUGUUGUUUUGCUAGAAAUACAAAAGCAGUCCCUAAACUAAACUUCCUUCAUGCCUAAAGUAACCACCUCCUUAACAAGGCAGUUUGGGCUGUGCUAGGCUUUUAUUAAAGCUGUUCAUUAAUUCUACACCAGCCAUUCUCAGUGUCUUUAUGAGGACAACUAUCCGUGUAAUGACACCUGCAACAGUUGAGACAUUCAGCCUGUCUAAUAAAAAAAACAGAAAUGUCUGUGGCAGCCCUUCACAUUCUGUUUAAUGAGCUGCUCCUCUGGCUGUCUCCUCCUCGGUGGAGCCGCUCUGUCUCUCUCUCCCCCCCCCCCCCUGUUUCUGGCUAAACUGUCUGCCGAAGUUUCUUGUCCAAGCUGUCCUCAUGUCUGCCUAACCUGGACAGCUUUCUAGUGUAGCUGAAUUCUACAGUUGAGUGUUUGUUUGUGUGUGUGUGUGUGUGUGUGUGGGGGGUCUCUGUCCCAGUUUGAAUCUUUCUUUCCCUCUGGGAGAGGCACCAAAACUCCACAUCAUAUUUUUAAACUGCUCCUCUCCUCCCACCACACUGCUCCACCCCUGUGCUUCUCCCUAAAUGUCUUUCUGCCUCGAUCUCAGAGUCAUCUUGGCUCGCAAGGGCCCAUCUGUCCAGAAUCAGGCUGGUCUUGUUUAGUCCUGAAGGCUUGUUUUGACUGUUGAGAGCAUUCAAGCAGGUUUUCCCAGGAAAGAACAAACUACAUCACACUCAAGUCAAC